AGGAGAGGGGAGAUGUAAAGUCGUGUCACUUCCUGUUUUUUAAUUUAUUUGGCGCGAUUUGUUUGCGGCGGAUUUUACAUAACUUUUUUUUUUUUAUCACUUUUUCUUCCCAAAAUCAUCUUAAAAGAUCUUUUUGAUUCCCGGGAUUCUUUCCUUCCCUGUCGGCUGCGUGUCUUUCGAGGAGCGCGUUUGUUCCCCUGUUUUAAAGCAGUUUUUUUUAGAAGACAUAAAAACCGAGAAAGAACUUCAACUCUUUAUAAAGAACCUGGAUGAACAUAUAAAUAAUGAGUACCUGCACAGGGAGUUCUCCAAAUUUGGAACCGUCACCAACGCAGAGGUCAUAAUAGAAAAACGGACGAUCCAGGGGGUUUGGCUUUGUGCAAUUUUUAUCAGCCAAAGAAGCAACAAAGGCCAUCAGUCAGAUGAAUGGCAGGAUCUGGGGUGGGAAGCAGAUCUUUGUGGAUGUGGCUAGGCGGAAAGAAGAACGUCCACCUCAGAUUCUAGCUGUAGGACAGAGUCCAGCUCCACCUAAGGUUCUUAUAUGUAUGUAAUUGUAAUGUUUGUUGGUCAUUCAUUAGUAGGGCAGUAGUCAGUUCAGCUAUAAGUCUCGUACCUAUGACUAAACAAUUUUCAGUGUUAAGAUGAGACAUUUCUUGGAAGAAAUUUGCAUUAUGCUUUGCAUGUCUGUUUACAACGGAAAGCAUUUCAACAUGUGGCCGUACUUGCUAUGACAGUGCAUGCGUGCAUGGUAUCAGUAAAAGGUGAAGAAAUAAGAAACCUAAAAAGGUCACAGCAGUGAACAUUUCCCGAUAAUAUUUGGUGCUUGCAUGCAACUGAAUCUGUGCUUUUGGUUUUUAAAGACACCGAGUUUCACUUUUCGUCAUGAAACACUUUCAAUACGACACAGCGCUUCCUCAGGGGUAGUGUUGGGGAAAAAGCAUUUAAAUACAGAUGCAAAUCAUAUUCAAUAUACGUUAAAAACAUUUUAGGUUAUCAGUCAGACCAGAAAUAAAAUUUUAUUGUUGAGUUUAAUAUAAAAAAAAGUACUUGGUUUUUGUAAAAUUCACUCAAUUGGUAGUUUAUUAGGAACAGGAUGAAAGAUACAGUUUAAUUUACAUCUUAAUUUGAUAAAUGACAUCAUCUAACCACCACAAAUCAUAAGCAAUCUGCUUCACUGAUCCAUCAGAUCUUCUAGUCAGCUCCUUUUCAUAGUUUCUCUGUAGAGACGUACCAGUGCCAAUUGGAUCCCACUGCAUGUGUGGAGUUUGACAUUGGAACCCCUGGAGUGUUUAAAGGCUCUGGCAUGG
This is a long non-coding RNA of Silurus meridionalis, 1307 nucleotides long. RefSeq lists it as uncharacterized. NCBI's taxonomy places the organism in Eukaryota, Metazoa, Chordata, Actinopteri, Siluriformes, Siluridae. The transcript has 3 exons. The record is from RefSeq and is a predicted model, not a curated record.